This 1679-nucleotide long non-coding RNA is filed under the name Homo sapiens (human). RNAcentral's name for it is "HSALNT0352349". The record is from RNAcentral. Lineage: Eukaryota; Metazoa; Chordata; Mammalia; Primates; Hominidae.
UAGUACCCCAUUCCUUGCUGCAAUGUAAUUAUAUUUACUUACAAGUGUGCUCCUGGUGGUCUUUAACUGAAGGGCACUGACUGGGUCACUGGUGAAGUUCCCCGCAGGAACUGAGUCAGACCCCAUCUCAGGGCCCUGCACAAGAUAGGUACCUGCUCUAAGGCGUGGACCCUCGCCACAGCCCUGGCCCGUCUUGACGGGCGAGGGUUACUGUACUUGUCCCAACCGUACAGAUGAGAAAGCUGAGACUCAGGGCCAGCAACCCGGGUCCCAGCGGAGCGCCCGGCACGCGCCAACACUUCAGCACCAGUCGCGGUGGCCACCACUGUGCGCGGAGAUGGCUGCGACGCGUGCGCAGAAUCUGGACCCGAAUCCACCCAUUGUCCGUUUUCCGCUGCCGCUGGAGAGAAUCUCUGAGGUCCCCAGGAGAGCCUGCCUGCACGGAAGAGACGCCUCCUCGAAAAUGACAGGUCUUCUGAGUUCAUGAUGGGAGUUGGGCAGCAGUCGCAUACGAGCACCUGGAGAGUCCUUGCCAGUUCUUUGGGGAUGGGGAGCUCUUAAGACUGCCCUGAGACCGCCCUUUGACCUCAUUGUGGUCCUUUCUAGAUUAAAUGCUGUUUUCCAUGACCGUCUCUGUUCUUCCCAUACGCGAAUGGCAGGCAUUCAGAUCUCCAAGAAUAGAGGAUUAGGAGAGACUCCACCACCUAUGUCCUCACAGUUAAUUAUCGAUUUGUGUCAGUUGCCCAUUUUCUCACUUCCUGUUUGUGUGUCAAGGGGUAUUAAUAAAUCUUUGCCUAUUUAAAGAUAUUAGCCUUGGAUUUUCAAAUAUUGCAUAUUUUGACAUGUAAAAAUUUGUUAGUUUUAUUUUUUCAACCGAUCUGACCUGUAUAGUUGGGCUUGAGGAAGCUUCCUCAUUCUACAUGUUACUAUGGAUUUUCUAAUAUUAACACAGGGUUGUAUUUUUUCCAUAUAACUUUCUAUUGAAUUUCUUUUUCCAUAUGAUAGGUGGUGAAGGUUUAGCCCAGUAAAGCAGAGAGGUUAAGAGGUUAGAUUGGGGGCUCUGGAGCCAGACCUGUGUAGAUCUGAGUCCUGGCUCUGGCACUUGAAAGCCGUGUGACCUUGGUUAAGAUACUUAGUCCCUCUCUGCCAAAUGGAGAAAUAAGGGCACCUACCCCAUAGGGUAGUUGUGUGAUUACACAAGUUAAUACACUUCAAUCAGUAGCAAGAAAGUGAAUGUCAAGCUGUAUUUGUUCAGGCAGCCAUAUGGUAGCCCCACGUCCUUAGUAAACUGAGGUAUUGAAGUAUCUUCUUUUUCUUUCAGAAAAUAUUUGUCAAGCACCUUCUGUGUUCAAAGAACUGUUCUAGAGCUUUACAUGCUAUGGAGGUCUAGAAAUUCACAUUAUGGUGGCAGGUGACAGACAAUACAAAGAGAUAAAGCAAUUUUAUAUAGUGAUAAGCUAGGGAGGAGUGCUAAAAGGAGCCAAGGUGUAGUGGUGACUGGAAGGUGACCAGGGAAACCACUGUAGGGUUUCUAAGUGAUGAGAUCUGUGACAAAUCCCUGUGGUCAGCAGCAGGCAUUGGAUAUGUAACUUUAUUCUGUCCCAUUGAUCUUGUAGUCAACCCUGGUCUGUUCUGUAUUGUUUUAAUUACAUAAUCUUUGUAAUAAUCUUUAAUACCUG